Molecule: ribosomal RNA, 497 nt
Filed under: uncultured bacterium
Lineage: Bacteria
Description: partial 16S ribosomal RNA
Rfam family: Bacterial small subunit ribosomal RNA
Source: RNAcentral
GAUGAACGCUGGCGGCGUGCCUAAUACAUGCAAGUCGAGCGAACAGACGAGGCGCUUGCUCCUCUGACGUUAGCGGCGGACGGGUGAGUAACACGUGGAUAACCUACCUAUAAGACUGGGAUAACUUCGGGAAACCGGAGCUAAUACCGGAUAAUCUAUUGAACCGCAUGGUUCAAUAGUGAAAUACGGUUUUGCUGUCACUUAUAGAUGGAUCCGCGCCGCAUUAGCUAGUUGGUAAGGUAACGGCUUAUCAAGGCAACGAUGCGUAGCCGACCGGAGAGGUGGAUCGGCCACACGGGAACUGGGACACGGUCCAGACUCCUACGGGAGGCAGCAGUAGGGAAUCUUCCGCAAUGGGCGAAAGCUUGACGGAGCAACGCCGCGUGAGUGAUGAAGGUCUUCGGAUCGUAAAACUCGGUUAUUAGGGAAGAACAAAUGUGUAAGUAACUAUGCACGUCUUGACGGUACCUAAUCAGAAAGCCACGGCUAACUACGUG